RNAcentral lists this ribosomal RNA (253 nucleotides) under uncultured bacterium. RNAcentral's name for it is "partial 16S ribosomal RNA". It matches the Rfam family "Bacterial small subunit ribosomal RNA", at positions 524 to 776 of the family's 1533-position model. The record is from RNAcentral.
UACGGGGGGGGCAAGCGUUGUUCGGAAUUACUGGGCGUAAAGGGCUCGUAGGCGGCCAACUAAGUCAGACGUGAAAUCCCUCGGCUUAACCGGGGAACUGCAUCUGAUACUGGAUGGCUUGAGAUUGGGAGAGGGAUGCGGAAUUCCAGGUGUAGCGGUGAAAUGCGUAGAUAUCAAGAGGAACACCGGUGGCGAAGGCGAGUCCCUGGACAAUUCCUGACACUGAGGCACGAAAGCUAGGGGAGCAAACAGG